UUCAAUCCGAUUCAGCGCUUGGAGCUGGCGUCCAUGGCGCUCCGGCAGAACUCCCCCGCCGAUUUGCUAGGGUUUCUCGAUGAUCACCUCAAAACUCGCGAAGAUCUCCUCAAGCUUCCAUCCCUCGUUGCUCGAAUCGACCGUGAAUGCUUGGAUCUCGAGGCUGGUCUCCUUAGCCUUGAGAAGAACCUCUCAUGUGCUUUGGUUUCAUGGAUUUCUCGCUCUGAUGAAGUUAGGGAAGUUCUUCGCCAGAUCGAUCUCUCUCGAGAUGACAAUGUAGAGGGGGUGAGAAUGCGGAGAGCUCGGAAGAUGAUAGACAAGGAGUUGCCGCUUCUGGUGAGAGAAGUUGAUCGCAUUAAAGCAGUUCGGGCCUAUGCAGAGACUACAUUACAACUGGAAUUGCUUGUUGGUGACCUUGAAGAUGCAGUAAUUUCCAUCAUGAGUGCAGCAGUGAGUGGAUUGAAGCAUGAAAAGCUGUUGCUGGCUAUAAAUGCCACCAAGGACAUAGAGAAAGUUUUGGUGGAUAUCACGCAUAGCAGGCCUCGAUGGCUUCAUCUUCUUAUGGCUGUUGAUUCUAGAGUAGAAAAAGCUUUGGCCUUUUUGAGACCACAAGCUCUCUCAGAUCAUCGGGCUUUACUCGCUUCUCUUGGAUGGCCACCAUCCCUUUCAACGGCUAACAUGGAGAAGGAUAAUUACGAAGAUAUUCCAAAUCCACUCAUUCUAAUGCAAGGUGAGAAGAAGGAAAAAUACUCUCGGAGCUUCCUAGCGCUAUGCGCAUUGCAGCAUUUGCAAGCUCAACGUGACAAAAGGAAAAAUGACUUAGCCAAAUAUAAGAAGGAAUAUAAUUCUGUAAACAUUGACAAACAACUGUGUUCUCAUUCUGGUCUUUGGACAAUUGAUGAGCUAGUGUCGCCUAUUGCAUCAAGGAUAGAAUAUCAUUUCUUCAAAUGGUCUGAUGAGCCGAAGUUCAUUUUUGCACUUGUCUACAAAGUCACUAGAGAUUUCUUAGAAGGAGUGGACAAUGUCUUGCAGCCUCUGAUAGAUGAAGCAAGACUUGUAGGUUACAGUGCCAAGGAAUCUUGGGUCUCUGCAAUGGUGAAAAUGCUUUGCCAAUAUUUAGAAAGAGAAGUUUUUCCUGUUCUUGCAAAACCUGAAGAUUGUAGAGAUAGUAACAGAGAAGUGACCUCCUCGUGGAUUCAUCUGGUUGACAUCAUGAUCAGUUUCGAUAAACGGAUGCAAAUCCUUUCUAGUUCAGGAACUACAUUCAUGGGAGUGUUUGCAGGAUUUGAGGGAUUUUCACAGUCACUACCUGUGAUGUCAAUAUUUAGUGAGCAUUCCAAUUGGCUCCAAAUUUGGGCUGGAAUUGAACUCAAGUAUGCAAGGGACAAACUGAGGUCUGAGUUGGAGGAUGAGAGAAGCUGGGCCAUUCAUAUUGCGAAACAGGCCAGUCUUUCCUAUGAGGAUAGUGCUGAGUCCUUCCUUCUAUCUACCAGGGAGGACCAUAAAGCUCCAUCAAUUGCAGAGUCUUUUGUUCAACUGGCAUGGGCAAUGAUAGAGAGGGGCCGUAGUUUACCUGGCACAUCUGUGAGAACUGUAUUUGUGAGGUCUUCUGUGAUCAUUUUCUUUUAUGACUUCUUUCCACACUUAGUUCAGCGCUGUCAUGAAAUUGAAUCUACAGCUUCCAUCCAAGAGGAUGAUAUGGUGCUAAGAGUUGCUGGUUUAAUGAACGCUGCCCGAUACAUUGAAUGUGUGAUGCGGGACUGGAGCGAGGAUUUGAUAUUCUUGGAAAUGAGUGCUGCUGAAGAUGUUAUCACUGAGGUCCAAAAUGCCGACCAGUAUCUACAUAAUUGUUUUUUCAGAGAUGAAAUUCUGUAUUUGGUUAAGUUGGAGACUGAUUAUCUCGAGGAGAUUGUGUCAGCCCUUCUACUGGACUUUAAUGCCUUAUGCUGGGAUUACAUCCAAAAUAGUGGUCAGUGGGAACGAGUGGAUGACAAAUAUAAAGAUAAGGUUUCAGAUGAAGAGAACUUUAGUGUGUCUCCGGGUUUUAUUGAGGCAUUGGACAUGCUCAAAAAUCGAAUGACUAUUCUGAAAAUUAAUCUCAAUGUGAAGUACUUUCUGGAUCUAUGGAGAAGUGUAGCCGAAGGCCUUGACCACUUCAUCUUUAAUAGCAUCCCAUUGUCCCAAGUGAAAUUUUCUUCUUAUGGUGUCUAUCAAUUCAAAGCUGAUAUAGAUGCCCUUUUAACUGUUUUCAGACCCUUCUGUGCUAGGCCUGAAGCGUUUUUUCCUUGCACAAUGGAUGCUUUGACGCUGCUUACAAUGAAGAGGAGAGAUGUUGAUCUUCUUCUUAAAGUUCUAUUCAAGGGUGAGAAAAACAUCGACAAGUGCUUGCAGUCUCGGGGACUGUUUCAUGUCUCUGCAAGCCAAGUGGAAAAUAUUUUGUGGAACAUUAAGGUUGAGUGUACUACUGAUAAAUAGAAGGCUCUGUUAUACUGCUCUUUUCCUUUACAAGGAUUUCAGUCUGUCAGUAGCUUCACAUACAAAGGAAGUAGCACACUAACUCAGAGGUGUUGAACUAACAUGCAGUAAGUUUUUAAAAUGAACAGUGGCCUGGCAGGGUCAUAUGGAGAGAGCUACAAUUUAUGAUUGGCUAAUCAACAUGCUUGCCUAGUUGCCUUUGUGGGAAUCAAUUGGAUGAAAAUCCUUUUGAUCAAUGAUAACUCGAGGAAUGUGAGCCAGCUUAUUUCUUCCAUGUCCUUGGCACCACUCUGCAAGGAGAGGACAAUGCAAAAUAUCCAAAAUUUGAAGCGUUGGUGGCAGCUCUUGAUCAGGCAGGAAAAUAACUCCUGGACAAAAUUGUAUCUUCAGCUUUUCAAGAAAUACAAGUCUGCGAGAAACCAUUCCCAGAGAUGAAGAAGGCAUUGUGCUUUCCUGACAACCAUAAAUCUCCAAUUCCUUUAGUUAUAAUAGUUAAUGCAGAGGAAGUGAGCUCAGGUCUUUAUAUCCAUUGAUCUUCAAUGUCUGAAGUCUUGCAAGAAGGUCCUCUGGCAUUGAACUCCAUAUGUUUUCAUUAUAAUGGCCUCUGAUCUCCAAACAAAUGAGUGAUGGAAGACUGGACAGUGCUGUAAACUUGUUGCAAGCCCACAACAUCAACUUCUUCAAGGAAGAGAAAUGUUAGGUAUUCUCUUUAGCUUUGGACAAUAGUUCAAGUUCAAUAAAUGAAGACAAGGAAAUGCGGUGGCAAUGUCUUCUCCGAACCAAUCCUCCCAUUUGUACAUACUCCCAAAGUGCAGUCUCUGCAGCCAACGACCUUCCGGUCUAUUGGUACAUUGGUCGCCGAUAGAGCUCUCACCGAGUGGUGAGAGUUCGAUUCUCGGCUGAGGGCACAUUUCUGGGAGUUGUGAA
Dioscorea cayenensis subsp. rotundata (Guinea yam) is the source of this 3402-nucleotide RNA transcript. It is a transcript of the gene named RINT1-like protein MAG2L, with no coding region annotated. The record is from RefSeq and is a predicted model, not a curated record. The transcript is spliced from 5 exons. NCBI's taxonomy places the organism in Eukaryota, Viridiplantae, Streptophyta, Magnoliopsida, Dioscoreales, Dioscoreaceae.